Molecule: long non-coding RNA, 4295 nt
Filed under: Sus scrofa (pig)
Lineage: Eukaryota; Metazoa; Chordata; Mammalia; Artiodactyla; Suidae
Description: lncRNA (ENSSSCG00000062771.1)
Source: RNAcentral
GAAAAACUUCCAAGAAGAGGCUUGCAUUGAGGAAGAAGGAAAAGGACAUAAAACCACAAGACUGCCUGUGGACAGAAGAGCUUCCUGGCCCUGGUUCGGGUCCUUCGUUUCCAAAGAAUCCUCGAACUGCUGGUGGUGAAAAUGCUGAACACAGGCAACACCAGAGUUGGAGCAACAGCAGAUUUUUACCUGCUUCCUGUGCUCACACUACCAGGGAGAAUCUGGGGGUGUGGGGGGUGCUUAUGAAGACAGGAGUGUGCAGGGAUCGGAGGAAAGCUGUGCCACCGGCUGAAGAGAGAACAGGCCACAAGCGACCAGGUGGUCCUAAAAACCACAAGAAGCAGCCUUCAAUGUAGGUACAGUGGUAACUCUUAGGAAAGAGAGGAUUUCUAAUUUGUCUUGUUCUCCUGUUUAGUGAUAACGGGGUAAAUAAGGAAGAUUAAAUUAUGUGUCAUUAUGACUACACCAUGUUUAAUAAAGUUGAAAUUGAGAGAACAUCUUUGUAGAACAGAAUUCUAAGUCUCACCCACUCAUGGUGUGUCAUGAAGCAAAACUGAAUGAAUCCCUUUGGAGAGCCAACACAUAAAGCUACCUACCAGGUCACAGUUGUUUACCAGCCAGACUUCUGUUUGACUGACUUACAGUAAACAAAAGCACAUCACCCAUCUUCAUGCAGAAUAGUCACCAGUGCAGCAAAAUGUAAUAAUUACAGCUUAAGCACUUGCAGUGACUGGACUUUAAGGUGACAGCACUGAUGGUUAUGCCCUUCAUCAGUGUCCAUCACUCCCCAGCCACUCUCCCAACCCAGAGGCUGGCUGCCUGCCCUCUGAAGCAUUAAGCUUUGCAGCUGAUGGACUUGUCUUUAUGUCCUUAAACCUUUCAGAACAGACAAUCACCUGCUUUCUGGAAAGGAAACAGGUACAGGCAUCGCUCGGAGACAUUGCAGGUUCAGUUCCAGAACACCACAAUGAAGGGACCAUCGUAAUAAAGUGAGUCACAUGAUUCUCUGGUGUCCCAGGGCACAGAGAAGUUAUGUUUACACUCUACCGUAGCCUAUCAAGUGUGCACUAGCAUUGUUUCUUAAAAAAACAAUGUGUAGACUUUAACGUAAAAAUAAUUUAUUGCUAAAAAAUGGUAGCCAUCAUCGGAGUCUCCUGCAAGCAUCACUGGAUCCUGUGGUGUCUCCUGACAGUGGUUACUUAGCAUUAAUAAGAUCACUGAAAUCAACUCAUUGUCACAGGCUAGGGGUUAACCUUAAAAUACUUUGCAUUCCUGUGGGAUUAUAUGCAGCCAAAGGUUUUUCCUUUCAGGGAUGAUUUCCUUAUCAUUUUAUAAAGCCACACCCUAACAUAUAUUGAAACUCAGCAAAAACAGAGGGAAAGAACAAAGAAAGAGAGAAGAUUAAAAAAGAAAGAGUAAAGGAAUAAAGGGAGGAAGGAAGGAAAUAGAGCUAAGGAAGGAAAUGUUAAAUCACUAAAGAACAAAGCGCCAAUCACAACAGGAAGAAAGACACUAGACAGACACCCACAGACCAAGCCUGGAGCCUGCUGUGUGUGCAGAGUCCAGAUCUGCUGUGUAAGACACUUGCUGGGUGUUUCUCUACAGGCUCUCAGCUCCCCAUCUCCCUUCUUUCUACCCUCUCACCUGUGAUGCAGAGGCUGGGUCUCUCAAAUCUCAUUUCAGAGGCUCUGUGACCUGCUCCCCUUUGGGAGGUUCUGCCACUAGGGGGCACUAGAGGGAGACUGAGGGUGGGACUCAGAGCUAAUGGUCUACCUGGUCUCUGCUCCUCCUGCAGCAUCACCCCAGCAGUGAUGACUGCUCCCAGCUCCCAGCUCUCUCAGCACAUGGAGAACCUGCCUCCUCGGGCUCCCUCACAGACAUGACCAGCAGCUGGACGGUGACUUGGAGGAUUGAGCGCCGACUCUUUAGAGCCUCUCCUCUCGGUUCUUAGGUCUGGACGUCUGUCCUAGGACAUGGGAGUUGGUUCCUAAAAUUCUUAUCCCAGUGUUUCCUUUCAUUUUUCUAUCCCUCAAAGUCCUAUGUAACAAAUUUCCUAUAUUAAAUCCCUUCUGUUGAACUACUUUGUUUUUCUCACUAGGCCAUUUCUUCUCAUGGACUCCCCUCUGACAGCAACAGCUGAGAAAUUCUGGAACCCUAGCCAACCUCCUCGGGGCAGUCUCAAUGAGAGGCUAAUUUUCUGGAUCAAGGAAAUCCAAAAAAGCUGAAACAGCUGUGACACAGUGACAGUGACUAUGUCCCACCAUCUGAAAUAUGAAGCCAAACAUGGAUUUUGAAUAUUUUCAUGGUUAACCAUCUUUCAAAAAUGACAAUGCAAAUAAAUUUUUAAUAUGAAAUUAUUCAAAAGCACCUUCAGAAAGCAGAGUUAAGUACCUGAGUUAAUGUCAGGAAUCAGAGGAGAAAUUAAGAGAAAAUUAAAUUAUUUGGAGGUUUCUAUCAAGGUUUACAAGGAAGGAUGAGUUAAAAAAUUGAACAUAAACGGAAACAACUGAAAUUCCACAGACGAGGCUCUUACCAUCACCUGUUCGCUGUCAAUAACGGUGCUCAACCUGUUUGUGAUGGUUAACACAGUGCACUGGGCAAAUUUCUCACGGACUUUCUUCUUAAUUACCUCAUCGGUUCUGAAUGAAAGAAGGUGAUUUAGUUCAGUAAAGAUAUGAAAAGCAGACAGAGUUUAAAAAUCAUAUGAUAUUUUCAUACUGUGUUUAAAAAAUUAAUACUGUAAGACAAUCUUGUUCCUGAAAAACUAUUAAAACUUUCCUUAGAAAUUUAUUAUUUUUCAUCAAACAGUGGGAAAUAGUCUUCCCUUGAAAUUACUUGAAAUGCUCAGGAGCGAAAUUUAGAAAUCUAGCUCUCCUAGGAUACUUCAUAACAACAUGAAUAAUACAUAACACAUUUUGGUGUCUUCUUCUGUUUUCUAGGAUAAAUGAUAACAAGAGCUACCUUUUGGGUGGAGAGAAUUAGAAACAUUUCUCAGCAUCACAAAAUAUUUCCCAUUUACUACAUUUAAUGUUUGGAUUCCAGGUUUCAUGGAUCCCAGCUCCUACCUUGGAUCUACAUUGGAUGUGGCUUUGUCAAUAAUCAAUAUCUGAUUUUUCCUGAGAAUAGCCCUGGCAAAGGACACCAGUUGUCUCUGUCCAGCACUCAAGUUCGAUCCAGAUUCUGCUAAUUCAGUAUUCAGUUUCCCAGGGAGACCUUCAAUGGCUUCUUUAAGCUGAACCUGUGGAUACAGAAAGAAUGACAUUUUCCUCAACAAACUGCUACUGAAGUAGACAAGCCUCUUAGACAUUCACGCUCUGAGGGCCUCAGGACUUCCUACGUAUCUUACAUGUGCAGCCAGGUGAUGGGGGGAGCUCCUGCCAGUGAGCGAUCACUGAGAAAGAUGCUAGAGUCAAUAUAGGACAGAAAGAAAUCCUAGAGAAACACAAUGAUGGAGUGAUUUCUCAUUUGAAAAGACAUCACUAAAGUGAUAGGGUCAAUUCCAGAAGCAUACAUAGAAACCACACACUUUGUGAAAUAAACCCAUGUUUAUUUUUAUUAUCAUAAAGUUUCAAAUGCAGUUUAAAAAGGCAGUAUUAUCCUCUACCACUUCCACGACCUCAUCAUUAUUAGAAUUCAGAGGAUACUAAAUGUAAUUUUGGCUGCAACAGAUGAGUUAAUUAUAAGUUUAGGCCAAUUUCUAUGGUAGUUUUUUUUUUUUUCCUUUUUAGUAUAGCACCUACAGGAAAUAGAAGUUCUUAGGCUGGGGCCGAAUCAGAAGUACAGCUGGGGGUCUACACCACAGCCACAGCAACAUCAUAGCUGAGCUGCAUCUGUGACCUUUGCUGCAGCUUGUGUCAAUGCCAGAUCCUUAACCAACUGAGUGAGGCCAGGGAUGGAACCUCCAUCCUCACAGAGACAAUGUCCAGUUUGUAACCUGCUGAGCCACAACGGGAACUCCAAGACAGUUUUUAACAGGAUUUGUCUCCUAAUUAACAUAACCUCUCUGUCCGCGGAAAACUAUAUUAUAAAACUCUAGAGUAAUUUUACUACCUAAGAAUCUGAGAAGAGAAAUCUCAAGCUGGGAGACAAACAGAAAAAUGAUUUACUAGGAGUUCCCGCUGUGGCUCAGCAGGUAAUGAAUCCGACUAGUAUCCAUUAGGAUUCGGGUUCAAUCCCUGGCCCUGCCCAGUGGGUUAAAGAUAAGACGUUGCCUGAGCUGUGGUGUAGGUUGCAGAGGUGGCUAGGAUCUGGCAUUGCUGUGGCUGUGGUGUAAGCUGGCAGCUAUAGUUCAGAUU